AGUGUCUAGUGCCUAUAUAGAACAUAUAGUAAAAAUAACUGUGGUCUUAGGCCUGAUAUAGUGGAAAAUGUCAGAAAGUAAAUUGUCAAUAUUUUUGUUAUUUUUCAAUCUACAUGGCUGAAAUUUUGACAGUGAAUGGCUGGUAGGCAUAGAAAUCUGUACCUAAAAACCUGAAAUGAGAGCGCUCGGACAAUGUGAAGUUUGUCGCAUAGACGGGGAUUGACCGCCUUUGUACAUAUAUGUCUACAGCUUCUCAGAUUUGACCGAAGACAGUUGUUCGGUGUUGUGAAUGGAUGUUGUUCGGCCGAAGGCCUUCCAGUCACACAGAAGAUCCUGGUUCGGUCACACGAAGGGUCACUUCCAUUGAUAUUAGUCACAGGAAAAAUUAGGAGCACCAGUUGUAGUUUCUCAGGUUAAUAUUUAUUAAGGUUUUUCCUGAAAUUAAGCCAGU
Mercenaria mercenaria is the source of this 451-nucleotide long non-coding RNA. RefSeq lists it as uncharacterized. The record is from RefSeq and is a predicted model, not a curated record. NCBI's taxonomy places the organism in Eukaryota, Metazoa, Mollusca, Bivalvia, Venerida, Veneridae. The transcript has 3 exons.